This 234-nucleotide ribosomal RNA is filed under the name uncultured bacterium. RNAcentral describes it as "partial 16S ribosomal RNA". It matches the Rfam family "Bacterial small subunit ribosomal RNA", at positions 118 to 351 of the family's 1533-position model. The record is from RNAcentral.
UGAGUAACCUGCCCUUAACUCUGGGAUAAGCCUGGGAAACUGGGUCUAAUACCGGAUAUGACUUCUCAUCGCAUGGUGGGGGGUGGAAAGCUUUAUUGUGGUUUUGGAUGGACUCGCGGCCUACCAGCUUGUUGGUGAGGUAAUGGCUCACCAAGGCGACGACGGGUAGCCGGCCUGAGAGGGUGACCGGCCACACUGGGACUGAGACACGGCCCAGACUCCUACGGGAGGCAG